This is a long non-coding RNA of Dama dama (fallow deer), 1906 nucleotides long. RefSeq lists it as uncharacterized. NCBI's taxonomy places the organism in Eukaryota, Metazoa, Chordata, Mammalia, Artiodactyla, Cervidae. The record is from RefSeq and is a predicted model, not a curated record. The transcript has 5 exons.
CUAGCUGGCUCCUGGCAAGCGGCGCCGCGCUAGUGGCGGCGGCCGGGCAGAGCGCGCAACUCUCGGCAACCCAGCAGCCUCGGCUCCCCCCAGAGCCUCCGCCUCCUCCUCCGCCGCCGCCGCCUGACCAUUUGUGUCAAUCCCUCAACUCGCCCGCUCUCCUCUCCCUCGCUCGCCCUCCGACCGGUUUCCAGGCGCCCCGCAGUCUGUCUUUCACCAGGAGGGAGGAGCCUUGAAACCGACGCGGAACUGGAGGCUCAGGGACCGUCGCCCAAUCGCUGCACUGGCUUCCCGGCGCAAAGGGCGCCCGCCGCCUGCUUCCCAGAGCGAAAGUCGGCGGCGGGCGGGAGAAGGAGGAGGCGGGAGGGGGAGCGGUGGCCGAGGCACUGCUCGGGCACAAAGAGUGGGUUUGCUAUGAAGCGGGACAGGCUUGGUUGCUUUUGCUUUUGCCGAAGAAAGGGCGAGGACAAGUAGGAGAAUGGUCCCAUAUGCUGCUGGAGAUAAUGAAUAGGAGUCGGCAGACCGCGCGAUUUAGCUUUUCUUUUCUUUUAUCCAUUUUCGUGUUUAAAAAUCCUGCUCCGAACGCUGGUUACAAACAGCAGACCGAGCGCUUCGAUGAGAACAGAUUCCUCUGACUUAAGGAACGAACGGCUUCCUUCGAGAGUGCUCCUCAAAGUGUGAUCUCCUAACUAGCAGCAGCCCUUGGGAACUUGUUAAAAAUUCAAAUUCUCUUGCCCCACCCAGGCCUUCCCGAGUCUGACAUCCAGGUCUGCACAAUUGAAUUGAUCAUCUAAUUCCUGAGAAUGGAUCAGACCACCAACCUGCCAAGAGUCAAGAUGACUGAACAUAAAGCCCUCAUUCAUAAAUCAUUUGUUAAUAAAUCAGGAAGCAAGAAACUCAACUGGAAGUAAAAUUAUUCAUUCUCAUAUAAUGCAUAGGAUGGAUCUUAAAAGAUAAUUCCAUCUGGAUAACAUUCCCACUGAAAAAAAAGUUCAAUUCAUCAAUAUUCACAAAUAAUCUUAAGAGCCCCAGAGUUUUUCAGAGGUUUGCAGUGAUUCAACUGGUGGCUUCAGGAUGACCGUGGAAGAUGGAACCUGGGGCACAAUGUCAUUGAGAAGCUUAAACAUUAGUCUAGACAGUACUUCCCUGGUCGUCCAGUGGUAAAGAAUCGGCCUUGCAACUCUGGUUUGAUCCCUGAUCAGGGAUUAGAUCCCGCAUUAGGCAGAGCAGCUAAGCCCCCUUGCCAUAACUCAAGUCCAUUUGCCUCACAGGAUGAUCCUUCAUAAUGCAGCUAAGAUCCGACAUAGCCAAAUAAUAAAUAAAUAAAUGAAUAUUUAAAGAAACAAAAAACCUUUAGUCUAGAUGUAAAGGGUGGCUCAGUGGUAAAGAACCAGCCAGCCAAUGCAGGAGACACAAGAGACGCGGGUUCAAUCCCUGGGUCGGGAAGAUCCCAUGGAGUAAGAAAUGGCAACUCACUCCAGUAUUCUUGCCUGGGAAAUCCCAUGGACAGAGGAGGGCCAGGCUACAAUCCAGGGGGGUCACAAAGAGUCAGACAUGACUUAGCAACUAAACAACGAAAGGACAGGACUUAAGUUGGAGGAAAAUUGCUUUGCGAUGUUUGUUGGUUUCCGCCGCACAGCAGUGUGAAUCAGCUGGCUUUCCAGAUGGCACUAGUGGUAAAGAACCUGCCUGCCACUGCAGGAGACAGAAGAGACGUGAGCUUGAUCCCUGGAUAUGAAAGAUCCCCUGGAGGAGGGCAUGAUAACACACUCCAGCAUCCUUGCCUGGAGAAUCCCAUGGGCAGAGGAGCCUGGCGGGCUACAAUCCAUAGGGUUGCAGAGUUAGACACAACUGAGCGACUUAGCAUGCAUGUUCUUUUAAGCAGCUAUCCUUCUUUGCAUUUCUU